GACAGAGGGUGCAAACGUUGUUCGGAAUUACUGGGCGUAAAGCGCGUGUAGGCUGCUUCGCAAGUCGGGUGUGAAAGCCCUGGGCUCAACCUAGGAAGUGCACUCGAAACUGCGAAGCUUGAGUCCUGGAGAGGAAGGCGGAAUUCUCGGUGUAGAGGUGAAAUUCGUAGAUAUCGAGAGGAACACCGGUGGCGAAGGCGGCCUUCUGGACAGUGACUGACGCUGAGACGCGAAAGCGUGGGGAGCAAACAGG
RNAcentral lists this ribosomal RNA (253 nucleotides) under uncultured bacterium. RNAcentral's name for it is "partial 16S ribosomal RNA". It matches the Rfam family "Bacterial small subunit ribosomal RNA", at positions 524 to 776 of the family's 1533-position model. The record is from RNAcentral.